AAAAAGCAUGCAGGCUGUGGGAAAGGUAAAUGUCACCUGUCUGUUCAUCAGUGCAUUUGUCAAGAAUGUUUCAAGCAGGCAAGUUGACUGGGAAAUGGCUCUUAGGAGCUUUUUGGGUUUGAGCGUGAGCCAGAACCACGAGAACCUUUGGGUUUGAGCGUGAGCCAGAACCAUGAGAAGUAUGUGAGCUACGAGAGCUAUGAUAGCUAUGUGAGCUAUAACUGGGUGUGAGGGAUGACACAGAUGUGGCCAGCGGAACUGUAGGAGAACCAUCUGCAAGAGAUGUCUACAGACUAGCGUGGUGGCGGAAUGUGAUUAGGAUAUCUGCAAGAGAUGUCAACAGCCAACCAUCCAAGAUGUGCUAGUGUCUGGUCGUCAUCAAGAUACUGAUAGUAUUCGCAAUGACAGUGAAUUUCAGAUGAGUUUAUACUGAUACAAUUUGAACUGGUUGAAAAUGAUUAUUUAACUAAGGCUCGAACAUUGACUAGAAGCUAGUUGGCUCAGACUGGUUUACCAUGGACACCAGAAUACAGUUUUUUGGGGGGUUUAAUUUAAGGUUGGGGUAGUGAUGUUUGGAGUGAAAUCGUCAUUGUGUAUAUUUAUAUUUUGUAUAUAAAUUUGUUGAAAUGU
Molecule: long non-coding RNA, 630 nt
Organism: Gigantopelta aegis
Lineage: Eukaryota; Metazoa; Mollusca; Gastropoda; Neomphalida; Peltospiridae
Exons: 2
Source: RefSeq, a predicted model, not a curated record